Molecule: ribosomal RNA, 445 nt
Filed under: uncultured bacterium
Lineage: Bacteria
Description: bacterial SSU rRNA
Rfam family: Bacterial small subunit ribosomal RNA
Source: RNAcentral
ACCAGACUCCUACGGGAGGCAGCAGUGGGGAAUAUUGCACAAUGGGGGAAACCCUGAUGCAGCAACGCCGCGUGAGUGAAGAAGUCCUUCGUGAUGUAAAGCUCUAUCAGCAGGGAAGAAAAUGACGGUACCUGAGUAAGAAGCCCCGGCUAACUACGUGCCAGCAGCCGCGGUAAUACGUAGGGGGCAAGCGUUAUCCGGAUUUACUGGGUGUAAAGGGAGCGUAGACGGCCAGACAAGUCUGAAGUGAAAAUCCAGCGCUUAACGUUGGAAGUGCUUUGGAAACUGCCGGGCUGGAGUGCAGGAGGGGCAGGCGGAAUUCCUAGUGUAGCGGUGAAAUGCGUAGAUAUUAGGAGGAACACCAGUGGCGAAGGCGGCCUGCUGGACGAUGACUGACGUUGAGGCUCGAAAGCGUGGGGAGCAAACAGGAUUAGAUACCCCAGUA